Molecule: ribosomal RNA, 412 nt
Filed under: Pseudomonas sp. DN31
Lineage: Bacteria; Pseudomonadati; Pseudomonadota; Gammaproteobacteria; Pseudomonadales; Pseudomonadaceae
Description: bacterial SSU rRNA
Rfam family: Bacterial small subunit ribosomal RNA
Source: RNAcentral
AUCCAGCAAUGCCGCGUGAGUGAAGAAGGCCUUCGGGUUGUAAAGCUCUUUUGUCAGGGAAGAAACGGUUUCGGAUAAUACCGGGAGCUAAUGACGGUACCUGAAGAAUAAGCACCGGCUAACUACGUGCCAGCAGCCGCGGUAAUACGUAGGGUGCAAGCGUUAAUCGGAAUUACUGGGCGUAAAGCGUGCGCAGGCGGUUUUGUAAGUCUGUUGUGAAAUCCCCGGGCUUAACCUGGGAAUGGCAAUGGAGACUGCAAGGCUAGAGUUUGGCAGAGGGGGGUAGAAUUCCACGUGUAGCAGUGAAAUGCGUAGAGAUGUGGAGGAACACCGAUGGCGAAGGCAGCCCCCUGGGUCAAAACUGACGCUCAUGCACGAAAGCGUGGGGAGCAAACAGGAUUAGAUACCCUGG